AUGACGCAAGAUAAUACAAAAUUGUGUGAUUUCUCUAAUACCAAUAAUAAUGAUUUCCUUAGUACUCCGAUUGCUCCUCUUAAUGAUGUUGAGUCUUGUGAAAUCAAUACUGCUUUGCUGAAUCUUGUUACAAAAGAUCAAUUUGUCGGCCUUCCUAGUGAAGAUGCCGCUACUCAUCUAAAUAACUUUGUUGAUUUGUGUGAUAUGCAGAAGAAAGAUACGGAUAACAAUAUUGUCAAAUUGAAGUUAUUUCCGUUUUCACUUAGAGAUCGUGCUAAAGUUUGGUUUUCGUCUUUGCCUAAAAAUAGUAUUGAUUCUUGGAACAAGUGCAAAGAUGCUUUUAUCUCUAAGUAUUUUCCUCCCGCUAAGAUUAUUACUCUUAGGAACGAUAUUAUGAAUUUUAAACAACUUGAUCAUGAGCAUGUUGCUCAAUCUUGGGAAAGAAUGAAAUUGUUUGCUACUAAAAAUACUCCUCUUGAUCCCAAUGAUAUGCCUUUAUCUUCUUUGAUUGAGAAUAAUAAUGAAUCUAUGGAUGUGAAUUUUGUUGGUAGGAAUAGUUUUGGAAACAAUGCUUAUAGAGGAAAUUUCAAUGCUAGACCGUUCCCUAGUAAUUCCUCUAAUAAUUAUUGA
This 630-nucleotide ribosomal RNA is filed under the name Triticum aestivum (bread wheat). RNAcentral describes it as "partial small subunit ribosomal RNA". The record is from RNAcentral. Lineage: Eukaryota; Viridiplantae; Streptophyta; Magnoliopsida; Poales; Poaceae.